UCUAUGCUCUCUCAAAUCACUGGUUUCAGAUCUACAUUUCUAAUAAUCUCUUUCAAUAAGUUCUCCUCUUUCUCUUCAUUUCUUUGAAAUUCACUUUUCAUCUCCUAAAAAUCCAAUGAAUUUUUAAAAAUAUUUGAUUUAUUUCCCCUAUUUUUCAGGAUUCAUCGCUCUCAGAUCUCGGUUCUAUGAUUUCGUUCAACGUCGUUGAACACGAUUCCGGAUACUUUGAAGGUAGUCAGUUUUAUAGAAAGAUAUCAGGAGAGUUAUUCGAUUCAAUUGAUGGUACUGUAUCUUGGUGAAAAUGGAUUUGUUUCUCGACGCUGUACAAUUUUGCUGAGGCUGGAUUUAAUCUCGCGAAGUUUCUCGACGUUGUUAGAAGUCGAACUAUUGUCUCGACAUUAAAUAGCAUCGAGAAUUAGUCACGUGUGCAGCAUGUGUCUUUAACUCUAAAAUUCUACCGCUAGCCCCUGGUCUUCCAGUUUUAGUUUGGUGAAACAAGAAACCGCCGACACCAAAACGCUAAAAAAGAAAAAGAAAAAAGAACACCUCUCGUGGAUCUGUUGCUCGAUCUUGGUCUGCUACCUUCAACCCUCCAUUGAAAUCACAAUUCUCAUAGUAUGGCGGAAGGUUACAAGCUUUCUCACUUUCACCAGGAAGAUGAACUUGAAGAAGGUAUGAGCCUAGUAGAACUUUGGCAAGCUUCUCAUAGGAAGAAGGAUGGAACCUUUAUUGUCGGCACAUUCACUGAAGAGAUAAAAGACAAGUACGAUAAGAAUGCAAAACUGAUUAAGACAAUGAACAAAGCUGUUUUCUCAGGUUUUAGAAUCUGUUUGCAGUGGAGACGUUUCGACGCAACUAGACGCUACACAAACAGCCUUGUGUAUGGCUAACCCUCUGGCCCGUGAUGCGUUUGAAGAUUAUGGUGGUGGAAGAAAGGAAUAUAGGGAUGAUGCAUAGCUCCUUCAACUAUGAAGCCCAUAUACUUGAACUUAUAGGCCUUGAAUGACUUUUGUUUCUAAGAUGCCAUUUUAGAAUAAUAGGGCGAUUGGAAUUGUAAUAUUUAUAGAAGACGUUGUGUUAGUUUUAAGUUUGUGCUUUGGUGAUAAUGUAUAAACUUUGAUGAUAUGUUUAUAACGUAUUAUUAUAUAAAUUAAUAUUAGUACAAA
Molecule: long non-coding RNA, 1166 nt
Organism: Spinacia oleracea (spinach)
Lineage: Eukaryota; Viridiplantae; Streptophyta; Magnoliopsida; Caryophyllales; Amaranthaceae
Exons: 5
Source: RefSeq, a predicted model, not a curated record